Molecule: ribosomal RNA, 253 nt
Filed under: uncultured bacterium
Lineage: Bacteria
Description: partial 16S ribosomal RNA
Rfam family: Bacterial small subunit ribosomal RNA
Source: RNAcentral
AACGUAGGGGACAAGCGUUAUCCGGAUUUACUGGGCGUAAAGCGCCCGUAGGCGGCCUGACAAGUUGGACGUGAAAGCUCCUGGCUUAACUGGGAGAGGCCGUUCAAAACUGUCAAGCUAGAGUCUGGAAGAGGAGAGCGGAAUUCCCGGUGUAGUGGUGGAAUGCGUAGAGAUCGGGAGGAACACCAGUGGCGAAAGCGGCUCUCUGGGCCUUACCUGACGCUGAGGCGCGAAAGCUAGGGGAGCGAACAGG